This 482-nucleotide long non-coding RNA is filed under the name Manihot esculenta (cassava). RNAcentral's name for it is "long non-coding RNA (MESC_LNC005414)". Lineage: Eukaryota; Viridiplantae; Streptophyta; Magnoliopsida; Malpighiales; Euphorbiaceae. The record is from RNAcentral.
CCUCCUGGUCUACCCUGUACCUGCAAUCCUGGGGAAAUGGGAGAGGGGUGAGCUACUAGAGCCCAGUGAGCAGAAUAAUAAAAACAUUUAAAUCAUAUGGAUCAUGGAAUGCAUCACAUCACAGCUAAUCACAUCAAGGAUGAAUUUGUCACCAAUAGCCCUCUACAUGGUCCAACUGUGCCAGAACGUAGAAUGGGUCCUGGUCUUUCCCUUACAUAUCAUAACAUAACAGUGUCCAACUGUGCCAGAACGUAGAAUGGGUCCUGGUCUUUCCCUUACAUAGUGCCAGCGAACGUAGAAUGGGUCCCACUGGUCUUACAUUCCAUACCGUACAUAUCACAUCAUCAUAUCAUAGAUCGAGGGCUAUGGAUCAUCCAACAUUCAUCCACAUCAACAUUUAACAUAUGCAAUGCAACAUAUUCGUGAAUUCUAAUGCAAGCAACCUAAUUCAUCACAUGGCAUUCAUGAUGCAUGAAGCAUGC